UUUCCUCGGGGCGCAGCAGUGAGGAAUAUUGGUCAAUGGUCGGGAGACUGAACCAGCCAAGCCGCGUGAGGGAGGAAGGUACAGAGUAUCGUAAACCUCUUUUGUCAGGGAACAAAGGCGGGGACGUGUCCCCGGAUGAGUGUACCUGAAGAAAAAGCAUCGGCUAACUCCGUGCCAGCAGCCGCGGUAAUACGGAGGAUGCGAGCGUUAUCCGGAUUUAUUGGGUUUAAAGGGUGCGCAGGCGGUCUGUUAAGUCAGCGGUCAAAUCCCGGGGCUCAAACCCGGCCCGCCGUGGAAACUGGCAG
RNAcentral lists this ribosomal RNA (305 nucleotides) under uncultured bacterium. RNAcentral describes it as "bacterial SSU rRNA". It matches the Rfam family "Bacterial small subunit ribosomal RNA", at positions 335 to 639 of the family's 1533-position model. The record is from RNAcentral.